UACGGAGGGUGCGAGCGUUGUUCGGAUUUACUGGGCGUAAAGGGCGCGUAGGCGGCCUUGUCAGUCAGGCGUGAAAGCCCCGGGCUCAACCUGGGAACGGCGCUUGGGACGGCGAGGCUGGAGUUCGGGAGAGGAGAGUGGAAUUCCCAGUGUAGAGGUGAAAUUCGUAGAUAUUGGGAAGAACACCGGUGGCGAAGGCGGCUCUCUGGACCGACACUGACGCUGAGGCGCGAAAGCGUGGGGAGCAAACAGG
RNAcentral lists this ribosomal RNA (253 nucleotides) under uncultured bacterium. RNAcentral describes it as "partial 16S ribosomal RNA". It matches the Rfam family "Bacterial small subunit ribosomal RNA", at positions 524 to 776 of the family's 1533-position model. The record is from RNAcentral.